RNAcentral lists this ribosomal RNA (377 nucleotides) under uncultured bacterium. RNAcentral describes it as "partial 16S ribosomal RNA". It matches the Rfam family "Bacterial small subunit ribosomal RNA", at positions 338 to 732 of the family's 1533-position model. The record is from RNAcentral.
CCUACGGGAGGCAGCAGUGGGGAAUAUUGCACAAUGGGGGAAACCCUGAUGCAGCGACGCCGCGUGAGUGAAGAAGUAUUUCGGUAUGUAAAGCUCUAUCAGCAGGGAAGAAAAUGACGGUACCUGAUUAAGAAGCCCCGGCUAACUACGUGCCAGCAGCCGCGGUAAUACGUAGGGGGCAAGCGUUAUCCGGAUUUACUGGGUGUUAAGGGAGCGUUGACGGUAUUGCAAGUCCGGAGUGAAAGCCCGGGGCUCAACUUCGGGACUGCUUUUGAAACUGUGUGGCUGGAGUGCAGGAGAGGUAAGCGGAAUUCGUGGUGUAGCGGUGAAAUGCGUAGAUAUCACGAGGAACACCAAUUGCGAAGGCGGCUUACUGG